This 253-nucleotide ribosomal RNA is filed under the name uncultured bacterium. RNAcentral describes it as "partial 16S ribosomal RNA". It matches the Rfam family "Bacterial small subunit ribosomal RNA", at positions 524 to 776 of the family's 1533-position model. The record is from RNAcentral.
UACGGGGGGGGCAAGCGUUGUUCGGAAUUACUGGGCGUAAAGGGUGCGUAGGCGGUUCGCUAAGUUGGAUGUGAAAACUCUGGGCUUAACCCAGAGCCUGCAUCCAAUACUGACGAGCUAGAGUUCUGGAGGGGGUAGCGGAAUUCCUGGUGUAGCGGUGAAAUGCGUAGAUAUCAGGAGGAACACCGGUGGCGAAGGCGGGUCUCUGGGCCGAUACUGACGCUGAGGAGCGAAAGCGUGGGGAGCGAACAGG